This 497-nucleotide ribosomal RNA is filed under the name uncultured bacterium. RNAcentral describes it as "partial 16S ribosomal RNA". It matches the Rfam family "Bacterial small subunit ribosomal RNA", at positions 28 to 507 of the family's 1533-position model. The record is from RNAcentral.
GAUGAACGCUGGCGGCGUGCCUAAUACAUGCAAGUCGAGCGAACAGACGAGGAGCUUGCUCCGCUGUCGUUAGCCGCGGACGGGUGAGUAACACGUGUAUCAUCUACCUAUCAGACUGGGAUAACUUGGGGAAACCGGCGCUAAUCCCGUAUAAUCUACUGAACCGCAUGGUUCAAUGGUGAAAUACGGCUUUUCUGUCUCUACUCGAUGGAUCCCCGCCGCAUUAGCUAGUUGGUGAGUUACAGGCUUACCAAGGCAACGAUGCGUAGACGACGUGAGAGGGUGAUCGGCCACACUGGAGCUGAGACGCGGUCCAGACGCCUACGGGAGGCAGCAGUAGGGAAUCUUACGCAGUGGGCGGAAGCUUGGCGGAACAGCGCCGCGUGAGAUAUGAAGGUCUUCGGAUCGUAAAACUCGGUUAUUAGUGAAGAACAAAUGUGUAAGUAACUAUGCACGUCUUGACGGUAACUAGUAAGAAAGCCACGGCUAACUACGUG